This 354-nucleotide unclassified non-coding RNA is filed under the name soil metagenome. Its description in RNAcentral is "partial contains 5.8S ribosomal RNA, internal transcribed spacer 2, and large subunit ribosomal RNA". The stretch from base 1 to 120 matches the Rfam family "5.8S ribosomal RNA", at positions 35 to 154 of the family's 154-position model. The record is from RNAcentral.
GAUGAAGAACGUAGCGAAAUGCGAUAAGUAAUGUGAAUUGCAGAAUUCAGUGAAUCAUCGAAUCUUUGAACGCACAUUGCGCCCGCCAGUAUUCUGGCGGGCAUGCCUGUCCGAGCGUCAUUUCAACCCUCGAACCCCUCCGGGGGGUCGGCGUUGGGGCUCGGCCCUCCCUUAGCGGGUGGCCGUCUCCGAAAUACAGUGGCGGUCUCGCCGCAGCCUCUCCUGCGCAGUAGUUUGCACACUCGCAUCGGGAGCGCGGCGCGUCCACAGCCGUUAAACACCCAACUUCUGAAAUGUUGACCUCGGAUCAGGUAGGAAUACCCGCUGAACUUAAGCAUAUCAAUAAGCGGAGGA